AUGACGAAUCAGAUUGGUGUUGUAAGUCUGAGCAUUAUCCGGAGUAGCCCCUGUCUCCUUAGCAGCUCCCUUGUGUGGCCAUCCUGUCUCGGUGAUCAUGAUCUUGAGUGUCUUGAAGUUCAGAGCCAUGAGCGCAAAGAAGAUGGAAUCGACCUGCGCAUCAAACAUGUUUGUGUAGACCAAUCCAGUGUUGGGAUCAAUCACGCCCUCGGACUGCGGCGAGAAGAGGGCGUAGUUCAGCGAGACAUUGCUGGGCGAGUUCUGGUAGGCGUAAUAGGGGUACAGAUCGACCAUGAAGGGCGCCUGGUUCUCCACGAGGAACUCCAGCAUGGGCUUCAGGAAGUGCGCAUAGCUGCUGUUGAACGCCCCCGCGGACGGCGGGAACGACCGGGACAGCACCCCGAGCGAGUGCGUGCUGGAGAUGGUGAUCUUCUUGUGCAGGCCGACCUUCUUGAGCGCGGCGUGCACGUUGCGCAUGGCCGGCACGACGAGGGCGGAGACGUUGAUGGGGCUCUCCGUGAUCUCGGCGCCGACGGUGAUGUAGGUGAUGACGGUGGCCGGGUAGUAUGGGAGGAUGCUGUUCUUGAGCCAGGUGUCGACGUUGGACUGGUACUGCGAGAAGGCGAGGAGGUCGGCGUUGGGGACGCCGACCAUGAGCUCGACGCUGGUGUUGGCGAAGGCCUUGAUGACGUCGACGUUGCUGUCGUAGAUGCGCACGUACUUGAUGGACUGCUGCCGGACGAGCUGCGCCACCUUGUCGGGCCCCGGCAGGUCGUCGGCGUUGCGUCCGUAGCAGAUGCCGGUCUUGCCGCCGUGGCAGUGCCCUGCAAAAGCCCCACAUCAGGAUUCAGGAACGCGCAAUCUCUCUUUAUUUUAGCCACCAUUGAUGCGUCCAUUUAG
Molecule: ribosomal RNA, 900 nt
Filed under: Triticum aestivum (bread wheat)
Lineage: Eukaryota; Viridiplantae; Streptophyta; Magnoliopsida; Poales; Poaceae
Description: partial small subunit ribosomal RNA
Source: RNAcentral